UACGUAGGGUGCGAGCGUUGUCCGGAAUUAUUGGGCGUAAAGAGCUUGUAGGUGGUUUGUCGCGUCUGCUGUGAAAAUCCGGGGCUCAACCCCGGACUUGCAGUGGGUACGGGCAGACUAGAGUGUGGUAGGGGAGACUGGAAUUCCUGGUGUAGCGGUGAAAUGCGCAGAUAUCAGGAGGAACACCGAUGGCGAAGGCAGGUCUCUGGGCCACUACUGACGCUGAGAAGCGAAAGCAUGGGGAGCGAACAGGAUUAGAUACCCG
RNAcentral lists this ribosomal RNA (265 nucleotides) under uncultured prokaryote. RNAcentral describes it as "partial 16S ribosomal RNA". It matches the Rfam family "Bacterial small subunit ribosomal RNA", at positions 524 to 788 of the family's 1533-position model. The record is from RNAcentral.